CUCAGAAGAUCUAUAUAAGGGGGCAUCAGUUUUUGGGUUUUCGGUCACUCUGUAAAGUGCCGCUAGGGUUUUCUCUCUGCCAUUGUUUUGAAGUCGGGAUAGUGUGCUGCUGAGGUCGCUUGUGGAAUUUGAAAAUGAGGGCUAAGUGGAAGAAGAAGCGCAUGAGGAGGCUCAAGAGGAAGCGCCGAAAGAUGAGGCAGAGAUCCAAGUAGACAAUGAUGAUAGCUUUGACAAGGGUGAUCUUCUCUGGGUCUCCUCCUUUCCAAAUCUUUUUUGGAUUGGUGGUUUGAUUUAGCGGGGAAUGCCUUGUUAGGUCUUAUAAUCAGAAUCCUGAGCAAUCGUCUAUUCAGAAACUAGGUUGUUCUUAUGUUUUGUUUAUCUUGUUUGAGAGAACUUGAAUGGUAGUCGUACUAAUCUUCAAUUUUGGGAGACAAUUUUAAAUGUUUGUUGCUUACAGUUGGUUAUUGAGAUUUCUCUUUAGUUCUUCCUUCAA
Molecule: long non-coding RNA, 493 nt
Organism: Amborella trichopoda
Lineage: Eukaryota; Viridiplantae; Streptophyta; Magnoliopsida; Amborellales; Amborellaceae
Source: RefSeq, a predicted model, not a curated record